Molecule: ribosomal RNA, 496 nt
Filed under: uncultured bacterium
Lineage: Bacteria
Description: partial 16S ribosomal RNA
Rfam family: Bacterial small subunit ribosomal RNA
Source: RNAcentral
GAUGAACGCUGGCGGCGUGCCUAAUACAUGCAAGUCGAGCGAACGGACGAGAAGCUUGCUUCUCUGAUGUUAGCGGCGGACGGGUGAGUAACAUGUGGAUAACCUACCUAUAAGACUGGGAUAACUUCGGGAAACCGGAGCUAAUACCGGAUAAUAUUUUGAACCGCAUGGUUCAAAAGUGAAAGACGGUCUUGCUGUCACUUAUAGAUGGAUCCGCGCUGCAUUAGCUAGUUGGUAAGGUAACGGCUUACCAAGGCAACGAUGCAUAGCCGACCUGAGAGGGUGAUCGGCCACACUGGAACUGAGACACGGUCCAGACUCCUACGGGAGGCAGCAGUAGGGAAUCUUCCGCAAUGGGCGAAAGCCUGACGGAGCAACGCCGCGUGAGUGAUGAAGGUCUUCGGAUCGUAAAACUCUGUUAUUAGGGAAGAACAUAUGUGUAAGUAACUGUGCACAUCUUGACGGUACCUAAUCAGAAAGCCACGGCUAACUACGU